RNAcentral lists this ribosomal RNA (429 nucleotides) under bacterium. Its description in RNAcentral is "partial 16S ribosomal RNA". It matches the Rfam family "Bacterial small subunit ribosomal RNA", at positions 355 to 776 of the family's 1533-position model. The record is from RNAcentral.
UAGGGAAUCUUCGGCAAUGGGGGCAACCCUGACCGAGCAACGCCGCGUGAGUGAAGAAGGUUUUCGGAUCGUAAAGCUCUGUUGUAAGAGAAGAACGUGUGUGAGAGUGGAAAGUUCACACAGUGACGGUAACUUACCAGAAAGGGACGGCUAACUACGUGCCAGCAGCCGCGGUAAUACGUAGGUCCCGAGCGUUGUCCGGAUUUAUUGGGCGUAAAGCGAGCGCAGGCGGUUUAAUAAGUCUGAAGUUAAAGGCAGUGGCUUAACCAUUGUUCGCUUUGGAAACUGUUAAACUUGAGUGCAGAAGGGGAGAGUGGAAUUCCAUGUGUAGCGGUGAAAUGCGUAGAUAUAUGGAGGAACACCGGUGGCGAAAGCGGCUCUCUGGUCUGUAACUGACGCUGAGGCUCGAAAGCGUGGGGAGCAAGCAGG